ACUACCUGCGGGGAAGAUGACUUUUCAUCUUACAUGUCUUCUAAACAACAAUAUGAUCCUGAGCAGAAACACCUCCUCGUACAGAAAAAUGAAUGCUCUUUUCCUAAUGUGCAAUCUGUUUAGCUAACAAGCCUGCAUCAGCUUUAAUAAACUGAACAGUAUAUCCCCCCCAUUAAAAACAGCAACAUUUUACAACACAUAGAGCUAUUUAGAAAUGUAAAUGCCAUACCAAUGCUUUAUUUUUUACAUUUUAAAAUGUUUGUUAUUACCAGAAAAUGAAAAUUGCCUAUUAGAUUAGAAGCUCAUGUUUCUCAGCAACAUCAUGACCAUUACUGGUCUAACUAGCGGGCUGAGAUAUUGAAAUAGAUGUGUGCUGAGGGCCCCAUCAACUUCUAAAGAGUUAGUCCAGGUUUCUUUCCAACAGGACAGAAUAUUGCAGCUUCCCUACAAGGUGGAGGUAGGUGGCCCAAAUGCUGUGUGAUUCAUGGCCAUAAGAAUGCACCACCACCAGCCCAAGUGUGGAUACUCACACGCCCUGAUCAAAUUAUAUGUUUGACACAUUCUUAAACUGAACCUUUCUGCAAGCAAUUACACACGUUAGUGAUGCUGUGAUUCAGUGUGGUGCUGGCUGAUGAUGAAACGCUGAGGGCUGCUCCUCAUGGCACAUGGCACCAGGGAACAGGAACCUUAGCUUGCCUUUUUACCACUGGCUUCCCUCUGGAGAACAGCUGUAAUUAAUAUUAUCUUAAAUCGUUGUGAAAGGACAACUUAGGGACAUCACUUGUUGCAGAAGGUGUUUUCUAGUAAAUGUACUGAAAGUUGUAAGUGGAUUUAAAACUUGUCAGAUAGCAAAGAAGACACAGACAGAGUGUGGGACAGAGCUCGCUGUGGCUCUGGGGGACUGCAGCUGCUGCUCAGGGAAGUGCAGCUUCAGGAGCUCUAAAGGACAGGCAGUGAAAGGGUUUGUUCAGUGGUACAUGAAGAGGAACACUGCUGCAGUCAAUCCCUUCUGGGUGCAACUCCCAAUUCCUGCAUCCCUCGGAGGUCACACUGGAGGUCACAGCCUCCCCGGAGAGCAGCUGACGGCUGCCAAGGCAGCUCCAGCCAGGCCCGAGUGCUGCGAUUCUGCCAUCAUCCCCUAAAUA
This 1145-nucleotide long non-coding RNA is filed under the name Chloebia gouldiae (Gouldian finch). Its description in RNAcentral is "Erythrura gouldiae (Gouldian finch) lncRNA (ENSEGOG00005013746.1)". The record is from RNAcentral. Lineage: Eukaryota; Metazoa; Chordata; Aves; Passeriformes; Passeridae.